AAAAACUGAGGUGGUAUACGAUGGUUCCGCGUCUGAUUAGCUAGUUGGUGGAGUAAAAGCCUACCAAGGCGACGAUCAGUAGCCGGCCUGAGAGGGUGAACGGCCACAUUGGGACUGAGGCACGGCCCAAACUCCUACGGGAGGCAGCAGUGGGGAAUAUUGCACAAUGGGGGAAACCCUGAUGCAGCGACGCCGCGUGAGUGAAGAAGUAUUUCGGUAUGUAAAGCUCUAUCAGCAGGGAAGAAAUACUGACCAUAGGGUCAGCAGACGGUACUUGACUAAGAAGCCCCGGCUAACUACGUGCCAGCAGCCGCGGUAAUACGUAGGGGGCAAGCGUUAUCCGGAUUUACUGGGUGUAAAGGGAGCGUAGACGGCAGCGCAAGUCUGAAGUGAAAUGCCAGGGCUUAACCCUGGAACUGCUUUGGAAACUGUGCAGCUAGAGUGCAGGAGAGGUAAGUGGAAUUUCUAGUGUAGCGGUGAAAUGCGUAGAUAUUAGGAGGAACACCAGUGGCGAAGGCGGCUUACUGGACUGUAACUGACGUUGAGGCUCGAAAGCGUGGGGAGCAAACAGGAUUAGAUACCCUGGUAGUCCACGCUGUAAACGAUGAUUACUAGGUGUUGGGGGACCAAGGUUCUUCG
Molecule: ribosomal RNA, 639 nt
Filed under: uncultured bacterium
Lineage: Bacteria
Description: bacterial SSU rRNA
Rfam family: Bacterial small subunit ribosomal RNA
Source: RNAcentral